This 306-nucleotide ribosomal RNA is filed under the name Triticum aestivum (bread wheat). Its description in RNAcentral is "partial small subunit ribosomal RNA". Lineage: Eukaryota; Viridiplantae; Streptophyta; Magnoliopsida; Poales; Poaceae. The record is from RNAcentral.
AUGGCCCCAGUGAGCGUCGUGAGCUCCUGUUGUUACAACAAAUACGACGGUGAUGCAGACGCAGUGCGGCGUCUCAAGGACGCAGAGGCCGGUGCCGCCACUCCGGGACACAUGCCAUGUAGUGGCAGGAAUAUUGAGCCCUGCUGCUCUGUUUAUCAUGCAGAUUGCAGAGAUGUCAGAUCUUCACAUGGUUUCAGCGAGGACUGGUGCUGCGCCGGGGUCCCCUUCCGGUUCUCCUCUUUAUCUUACCUCCAUCCACCCACAAGACAACAAGCGGGGGCAGCAGUAGACGCCACUCCCAAUUAG